RNAcentral lists this ribosomal RNA (688 nucleotides) under Enterococcus faecium LCT-EF128. RNAcentral's name for it is "bacterial SSU rRNA". It matches the Rfam family "Bacterial small subunit ribosomal RNA", at positions 831 to 1520 of the family's 1533-position model. Lineage: Bacteria; Bacillati; Bacillota; Bacilli; Lactobacillales; Enterococcaceae. The record is from RNAcentral.
UUCCGCCCUUCAGUGCUGCAGCUAACGCAUUAAGCACUCCGCCUGGGGAGUACGACCGCAAGGUUGAAACUCAAAGGAAUUGACGGGGGCCCGCACAAGCGGUGGAGCAUGUGGUUUAAUUCGAAGCAACGCGAAGAACCUUACCAGGUCUUGACAUCCUUUGACCACUCUAGAGAUAGAGCUUCCCCUUCGGGGGCAAAGUGACAGGUGGUGCAUGGUUGUCGUCAGCUCGUGUCGUGAGAUGUUGGGUUAAGUCCCGCAACGAGCGCAACCCUUAUUGUUAGUUGCCAUCAUUCAGUUGGGCACUCUAGCAAGACUGCCGGUGACAAACCGGAGGAAGGUGGGGAUGACGUCAAAUCAUCAUGCCCCUUAUGACCUGGGCUACACACGUGCUACAAUGGGAAGUACAACGAGUUGCGAAGUCGCGAGGCUAAGCUAAUCUCUUAAAGCUUCUCUCAGUUCGGAUUGCAGGCUGCAACUCGCCUGCAUGAAGCCGGAAUCGCUAGUAAUCGCGGAUCAGCACGCCGCGGUGAAUACGUUCCCGGGCCUUGUACACACCGCCCGUCACACCACGAGAGUUUGUAACACCCGAAGUCGGUGAGGUAACCUUUUGGAGCCAGCCGCCUAAGGUGGGAUAGAUGAUUGGGGUGAAGUCGUAACAAGGUAGCCGUAUCGGAAGGUGCGGCUG